UACAGAGGUGGCAAGCGUUGUUCGGAAUUACUGGGCGUAAAGGGCGCGUAGGCGGUCGCCUAAGUCGGACGUGAAAUCCCUCAGCUCAACUGGGGAACUGCGUCUGAGACUGGCCGGCUUGAGUGCAGGAGAGGAACGCGGAAUUCCAGGUGUAGCGGUGAAAUGCGUAGAUAUCUGGAGGAACACCGGUGGCGAAGGCGGCGUUCUGGACUGCUACUGACACUGAGGAACGAAAGCCAGGGGAGCAAACGGG
This 253-nucleotide ribosomal RNA is filed under the name uncultured bacterium. RNAcentral describes it as "partial 16S ribosomal RNA". It matches the Rfam family "Bacterial small subunit ribosomal RNA", at positions 524 to 776 of the family's 1533-position model. The record is from RNAcentral.